GGAGGAAAUCAAUAAAUCUACCUAUAUUUAACGAAUUAGAUUACUUGGACAAAGAAAAGGAAUGAAUAAUAUUUUGGAGAGAAGAAUGCCUCCAAAUCCAAAUAGAAGAGUUCUUCGUUUCGCGAAGAAUCUGUAACCCACUCCCGCUCGAAUCGCACCAGCAAGGACCAAAGCUACAAAUGAGGCAUGAUACUCACACCCAAUGAACACUAGGAACUGAAGUACGAAAAAAAAAUGAUCGAGUUCAAGUCUAAGAGUCUCUAAAAACUCAUACGGCUGCGUUAAUCACUAAAACUGGUGCAGAAGAAAUCUUCAAUAGUAUAGAGAGCAAAAAGGAAAAAACUAAAAGGAGGAGCAGAUAUCACUCCUGCUCUUCACGGAGACGCAUAAAAAAAAGAAGGAAGACGGUAUAAGAGAAAAAUGGGUCGAGAUGCGUGCUAAGGACACAUAUGAAGAAUUUCAAAAAAGUUUGGAAAAUUGGUGUCAGACUCGGCCAACUUCAGAGGACGGUACCCUAGUCCAACCAUCACUCACACAAAUGACAGAGGUGGCAGGUGGUCCUAAACAAGGUAGAGUCUACAGACUUGGAGUUAUACGUUCUUCGGGUAGGCCUUCACCAUUGUCGUCUAUUGCAUAUACAUCACAAAAUGUGGAAGAAAUGGAAGAGAUGCGAAAGGAAAUAGCAGAGCUAAAAAUAAGGUGUAAAACUUCUGACUAUAGGGUUGCUAGAUUUGAAAAGCUUAUAAUGAAGUACAUGCCUCAAGCAUGUGAUGAUGAAGACGACACUGAAUCUGAUGAGGAUUAGACCGCAGUUUUUGAUUGUGAAAUUUAGAUUUGAAGUUGAUCUAUGGUUAUUAGUUUGGGAUAUUUCUUAAUGAUGUUUGCCUAGGAUGCUUUAAAUACUUUGAUGUUUUUGACUAUUUCUGUUAAUUAUGUUUGUCUAGGAUGCUUUAUGCUAUUUUGAUGAUC
Molecule: long non-coding RNA, 969 nt
Organism: Capsicum annuum
Lineage: Eukaryota; Viridiplantae; Streptophyta; Magnoliopsida; Solanales; Solanaceae
Exons: 4
Source: RefSeq, a predicted model, not a curated record